Molecule: unclassified non-coding RNA, 269 nt
Filed under: Melitaea cinxia (Glanville fritillary)
Lineage: Eukaryota; Metazoa; Arthropoda; Insecta; Lepidoptera; Nymphalidae
Description: misc RNA ENSMCXG00005001633.1
Source: RNAcentral
GUAGGUGUAUAUGGUUUUUUUUUUUUUUUUUUUUUUUUUUUUUUUUUUUUUUUUUUUUUUUUUUUUUUUUUGAUUUUUUUUUUUUUUUUUUUUUUUUUUUUUUUUUUUUUUAUAAUAUAUAUAUUAAGUAAUCUUAAAAACUAGUACACAAAAGUAAUUUUAAAACUAGUACAGAAAAAAGUAAUCUUAAAAACUAGCAUAUUUAGUAUAUAUUUUAAAUAAUUGCAAAAUAAAAAUAAAAGAAAAGGUAAUAAAGUGAAGAACAACAA